UUGUGUCUUCGAGUCGUUGAUUUCACACUGCCGAGAAAAGCCUCUAGAUAGAAAAUAGGUGCCCGUACCGCAAACCGACACAGGUAGUCAAGAUGAGAAUUCUAAGGUGAGCGAGCGAACUCUCGUUAAGGAACUCGGCAAAAUGACCCCGUAACUUCGGGAGAAGGGGUGCUCUUUAGGGUUAACGCCCAGAAGAGCCGCAGUGAAUAGGCCCAAGCGACUGUUUAUCAAAAACACAGGUCUCUGCUAAACCGUAAGGUGAUGUAUAGGGGCUGACGCCUGCCCGGUGCUGGAAGGUUAAGAGGAGUGGUUAGCUUCUGCGAAGCUACGAAUCGAAGCCCCAGUAAACGGCGGCCGUAACUAUAACGGUCCUAAGGUAGCGAAAUUCCUUGUCGGGUAAGUUCCGACCCGCACGAAAGGCGUAACGAUUUGGGCACUGUCUCAACGAGAGACUCGGUGAAAUCAUAGUACCUGUGAAGAUGCAGGUUACCCGCGACAGGACGGAAAGACCCCGUGGAGCUUUACUGUAGCCUGAUAUUGAAAUUCGGCACAGCUUGUACAGGAUAGGUAGGAGCCUUUGAAACGUGAGCGCUAGCUUACGUGGAGGCGCUGGUGG
Molecule: ribosomal RNA, 616 nt
Filed under: Staphylococcus aureus
Lineage: Bacteria; Bacillati; Bacillota; Bacilli; Caryophanales; Staphylococcaceae
Description: partial 23S ribosomal RNA
Rfam family: Bacterial large subunit ribosomal RNA
Source: RNAcentral